GGCUAUAGCUCAGUUGGUAGAGCAUCAGCUUCCCAAGCUGAGGGUCGCGGGUUCGAGUCCCGUUGGCC
Molecule: transfer RNA, 68 nt
Filed under: marine eukaryotic metagenome
Rfam family: tRNA
About the family: Transfer RNA (tRNA) molecules are approximately 80 nucleotides in length. Their secondary structure includes four short double-helical elements and three loops (D, anti-codon, and T loops). Further hydrogen bonds mediate the characteristic L-shaped molecular structure. tRNAs have two regions of fundamental functional importance: the anti-codon, which is responsible for specific mRNA codon recognition, and the 3' end, to which the tRNAs corresponding amino acid is attached (by aminoacyl-tRNA synthetases). tRNAs cope with the degeneracy of the genetic code in two manners: having more than one tRNA (with a specific anti-codon) for a particular amino acid; and 'wobble' base-pairing, i.e. permitting non-standard base-pairing at the 3rd anti-codon position.
Source: RNAcentral